GACGAACGCUGGCGGCGUGCUUAACACAUGCAAGUCGAACGGAAAGGCCCUGCUUUUGUGGGGUGCUCGAUUGGCGAACGGGUGAGUAACACGUGAGUAACCUGCCCUUGACUUUGGGAUAACUUCAGGAAACUGGGGCUAAUACCGGAUAGGAGCUCCUGCUGCAUGGUGGGGGUUGGAAAGUUUCGGCGGUUGGGGAUGGACUCGCGGCUUAUCAGCUUGUUGGUGUGGUAGUGGCUUACCAAGGCUUUGACGGGUAGCCGGCCUGAGAGGGUGACCGGCCACAUUGGGACUGAGAUACGGCCCAGACUCCUACGGGAGGCAGCAGUGGGGAAUAUUGCACAAUGGGCGGAAGCCUGAUGCAGCAACGCCGCGUGCGGGAUGACGGCCUUCGGGUUGUAAACCGCUUUCGCCUGUGACGAAGCGUGAGUGACGGUAAUGGGUAAAGAAGCACCGGCUAACUACGUG
RNAcentral lists this ribosomal RNA (468 nucleotides) under uncultured bacterium. RNAcentral's name for it is "partial 16S ribosomal RNA". It matches the Rfam family "Bacterial small subunit ribosomal RNA", at positions 28 to 507 of the family's 1533-position model. The record is from RNAcentral.